GGACCUGUAGCCUAGCCUGGGAAUUUUUAACUCGUAAAAAUUAGGUAAAUAGGGCGUCGGACUUCUAAUCCGAAAGUCGCAGGUUCGAAUCCUGCCAGGUCCG
This 103-nucleotide transfer RNA is filed under the name Promethearchaeota archaeon. RNAcentral describes it as "Candidatus Lokiarchaeota archaeon tRNA-Arg". It matches the Rfam family "tRNA". Rfam says of the family: Transfer RNA (tRNA) molecules are approximately 80 nucleotides in length. Their secondary structure includes four short double-helical elements and three loops (D, anti-codon, and T loops). Further hydrogen bonds mediate the characteristic L-shaped molecular structure. tRNAs have two regions of fundamental functional importance: the anti-codon, which is responsible for specific mRNA codon recognition, and the 3' end, to which the tRNAs corresponding amino acid is attached (by aminoacyl-tRNA synthetases). tRNAs cope with the degeneracy of the genetic code in two manners: having more than one tRNA (with a specific anti-codon) for a particular amino acid; and 'wobble' base-pairing, i.e. permitting non-standard base-pairing at the 3rd anti-codon position. The record is from RNAcentral. Lineage: Archaea; Promethearchaeati; Promethearchaeota.